GCCGAGAUGGCGGAAUUGGUAGACGCGCACGGUUCAGGACCGUGUGGACCUCAUACGUCCAUGCAGGUUCAAGUCCUGUUCUCGGCACCA
Molecule: transfer RNA, 90 nt
Filed under: Candidatus Beckwithbacteria bacterium
Lineage: Bacteria; Candidatus Beckwithiibacteriota
Description: tRNA-Leu
Rfam family: tRNA
About the family: Transfer RNA (tRNA) molecules are approximately 80 nucleotides in length. Their secondary structure includes four short double-helical elements and three loops (D, anti-codon, and T loops).
Source: RNAcentral